RNAcentral lists this ribosomal RNA (253 nucleotides) under uncultured bacterium. RNAcentral describes it as "partial 16S ribosomal RNA". It matches the Rfam family "Bacterial small subunit ribosomal RNA", at positions 524 to 776 of the family's 1533-position model. The record is from RNAcentral.
UACGUAGGGCGCAAGCGUUGUCCGGAAUUAUUGGGCGUAAAGAGCUCGUAGGCGGCCUGUUACGUCUGCUGUGAAAUCCCGGGGCUUAACCCCGGGCGUGCAGUGGAUACGGGCAGGCUGGAGGCAGGCAGGGGAGAACGGAAUUCCCGGUGUAGCGGUGAAAUGUGCAGAUAUCGGGAGGAACACCGGUGGCGAAGGCGGUUCUCUGGGCCUGUACUGACGCCGAGGAGCGAAAGCGUGGGGAGCGAACAGG